This 21-nucleotide microRNA is filed under the name Marchantia polymorpha subsp. ruderalis. Lineage: Eukaryota; Viridiplantae; Streptophyta; Marchantiopsida; Marchantiales; Marchantiaceae. The record is from RNAcentral.
AAGGACAAGGCCACUGACAAG